ACACUGAAUCCUUCCGAUACGAAGGAACGGGGGACCCAAACGGGCGGAAAUCACGCCCACGGGGCGAAUCCUGGCAGUCACUGACUUGUCCAGGUAGGGCGACUCUCGCGCCCGAGCCCGGCAGCUAACCUCGUAAGUGUGUUCGAGAGA
Molecule: small RNA, 150 nt
Filed under: uncultured Paenibacillus sp.
Lineage: Bacteria; Bacillati; Bacillota; Bacilli; Caryophanales; Paenibacillaceae
Description: ydaO/yuaA leader
Rfam family: c-di-AMP riboswitch aptamer (ydaO/yuaA leader)
About the family: This family represents a conserved RNA structure found upstream of the ydaO and yuaA genes in Bacillus subtilis and related genes in other bacteria. The ydaO/yuaA element is thought to act as a genetic "off" switch for the ydaO and yuaA genes in its native state. It is believed that the element may be triggered during osmotic shock leading to activation of ydaO, a predicted amino acid transporter gene, and members of the yuaA-yubG operon which code for KtrA and KtrB K+ transporters.
Source: RNAcentral